UACGGGAGGCAGCAGUGGGGAAUAUUGCACAAUGGGCGCAAGCCUGAUGCAGCCAUGCCGCGUGUAUGAAGAAGGCCUUCGGGUUGUAAAGUACUUUCAGUCGUGAGGAAGGUGUUAAGGUUAAUAACCUUAGCAAUUGACGUUAGCGACAGAAGAAGCACCGGCUAACUCCGUGCCAGCAGCCGCGGUAAUACGGAGGGUGCGAGCGUUAAUCGGAAUUACUGGGCUAAAGGGCACGCAGGCGGUUAAUAAGUUGGAUGUGAAAUCCCCGGGCUUAACCUGGGAAUGGCAUUCAAGACUGGUUAGCUAGAGUCUUGUAGAGGGGGUAGAAUUCCAUGUGUAGCGGUGAAAUGCGUAGAGAUGUGGAGGAAUACCGGUGGCGAAGGCGGCCCCUGGGACAAAGGACUGACGCUCAUGUGCGAAAGCGUGGGGAGCAAACAGGGAUUAGAUACC
This 453-nucleotide ribosomal RNA is filed under the name uncultured bacterium. RNAcentral's name for it is "bacterial SSU rRNA". It matches the Rfam family "Bacterial small subunit ribosomal RNA", at positions 340 to 786 of the family's 1533-position model. The record is from RNAcentral.